RNAcentral lists this ribosomal RNA (351 nucleotides) under uncultured microorganism. Its description in RNAcentral is "bacterial SSU rRNA". It matches the Rfam family "Bacterial small subunit ribosomal RNA", at positions 9 to 353 of the family's 1533-position model. The record is from RNAcentral.
GAGUUUGAUCUUGGCUCAGAUUGAACGCUGGCGGCAUGCCUAACACAUGCAAGUCGAACGGCAGCACUGGGAGCUUGCUCCCUGGUGGCGAGUGGCGGACGGGUGAGUAACGCGUAGGAAUCUGCCUCAUAGGCGGGGGACAACGUCGGGGAAACUCGAGCUAAUACCGCAUACUACUCGAGGAGGGGAAAGCGAGGGGACCUUCGGGCCUUGCACUAUGAGAUGAGCCUGCGUUGGAUUAGCUAGUUGGUAGGGUAAAGGCCUACCAAGGCGACGAUCCAUAACUGGUUUGAGAGGAUGACCAGUCACACUGGGACUGAGACACGGCCCAGACUCCUACGGGAGGCAGCA